Molecule: ribosomal RNA, 1349 nt
Filed under: uncultured bacterium
Lineage: Bacteria
Description: partial 16S ribosomal RNA
Rfam family: Bacterial small subunit ribosomal RNA
Source: RNAcentral
GACGAACGCUGGCGGCGUGCUUAACACAUGCAAGUCGAGCGGAAAGGCCCUUCGGGGUACUCGAGCGGCGAACGGGUGAGUAACACGUGAGUAACCUACCUCGAACUCUGGGAUAAGCCUGGGAAACUGGGUCUAAUACCGGAUGUUCAUCUCCUGCUGCAUGGUGGGGGAUGGAAAGUGUUUAGCGGUUCGGGAUGGGCUCGCGGCCUAUCAGCUUGUUGGUGAGGUAAUGGCUUACCAAGGCUUUUACGGGUAGCCGGCCUGAGAGGGCGACCGGCCACACUGGGACUGAGAUACGGCCCAGACUCCUACGGGAGGCAGCAGUGGGGAAUAUUGCGCAAUGGGCGGAAGCCUGACGCAGCAACGCCGUGUGAGGGAUGACGGCCUUCGGGUUGUAAACCUCUUUCACCAGGGACGAAGCUUUUGUGACGGUACCUGGGGAAGAAGCGCCGGCCAACUACGUGCCAGCAGCCGCGGUAAUACGUAGGGCGCAAGCGUUGUCCGGAAUCAUUGGGCGUAAAGAGCUCGUAGGCGGUUUGUCGCGUCUGUCGUGAAAGCCCACGGCUUAACCGUGGGUCUGCGGUGGAUACGGGCAGACUAGAGGCAGGUAGGGGAGAAUGGAAUUCCCGGUGUAGCGGUGAAAUGCGCAGAUAUCGGGAGGAACACCGGUGGCGAAGGCGGUUCUCUGGGCCUGUACUGACGCUGAGGAGCGAAAGCGUGGGGAGCGAACAGGAUUAGAUACCCUGGUAGUCCACGCCGUAAACGUUGGGCGCUAGGUGUGGGGUCCUUCCACGGAUUCCGCGCCGUAGCUAACGCAUUAAGCGCCCCGCCUGGGGAGUACGGCCGCAAGGCUAAAACUCAAAGGAAUUGACGGGGGCCCGCACAAGCGGCGGAGCAUGUUGCUUAAUUCGACGCAACGCGAAGAACCUUACCAAGGCUUGACAUCGCCGGAAAUCCAUCAGAGAUGGUGGGUCCUUUUUGGGCCGGUGACAGGUGGUGCAUGGCUGUCGUCACCUCGUGUCGUGAGAUGUUGGGUUAAGUCCCGCAACGAGCGCAACCCUCGUUCCAUGUUGCCAGCACGUUAUGGUGGGGACUCAUGGGAGACCGCCGGGGUCAACUCGGAGGAAGGUGGGGACGACGUCAAGUCAUCAUGGCCCUUACGUCCGGGGCUACACACGUGCUACAAUGGGCAGUACAGCGGGUUGCUACCUAGCAAUAGGAUGCUAAUCUCUAAAAGCUGUCCACAGUUCGGAUCGGGGCCUGCAACUCGGCCCCGUGAAGCUGGAUUCGCUAGUAAUCGCGUAUCAGCAAUGACGCGGUGAAUACGUUCCCGGGCCUUGCACACACCG